Molecule: transfer RNA, 73 nt
Filed under: Caudoviricetes sp.
Lineage: Duplodnaviria; Heunggongvirae; Uroviricota; Caudoviricetes
Description: tRNA-Gly
Rfam family: tRNA
About the family: Transfer RNA (tRNA) molecules are approximately 80 nucleotides in length. Their secondary structure includes four short double-helical elements and three loops (D, anti-codon, and T loops).
Source: RNAcentral
GCGAUAUUAGUGUUAGUGGUUAGCACGUUAGCUUCCCAAGCUAAAAGCGUCAGUUCGAGCCUGAUAUAUCGCU